CAUUCGUGCUCCUGUCAAACAACAGCCUACAAGCAAGCUUUUUCCUGCAAUGAAACCAUCAUGAUUAUCUAGUUUGAUAGGAAUUAUUUAUAGACAAGCAAAUUUGAUAAGUUACAAUCCCAUUGUUAUGGUUUGUUUGGUUGCUUAAAUAAAAUGAAUUGCAAUAUCUCAAAUCAUUUUCAGUGAAAUGAACUACGUGGAAUGAGCCCCAAUUCACUCAAAACAAGAGAUUAGCCCCCAAAUUGCCUUCGGAGCUGGGUUGCCUGCAACAUCCUUAUCGCAGAAGACUUCAAAAGAUUCUUUGAGUGCCUACAAAAUGACCCAUAAUAUGUAAGUAAACAGAAAAAGAAAAAAGAGAGAGAAAGAGAGGGAGAACUCUAAAAGCCCAAAAAUUGACUUUGUGGAAGAGAGCAUGGUUCAUAAAAUUGUUUUUUAUGUAGCCCAUGUACCUGUUGUGAAGUGUAAUAAGGUCUCUUAUGAAAACCUGAUCUUGUGAUUUGAUGGUGUCUUUAUUCUCCGCCUAAGGACUUAUGUUCUCCAUUCCUCAAGUUCUUUGUAAUAGUUAUCCAACUGCACCAUCCCAAUUCCAAUGCCGAAAGCCAUGAAAUAAAUGAAUGAAAAUCGCAAAUUUUCAGAUCUAAUCGCCAUGCACCCAAACAUAGAAGAAUUGUUCUGUAUGUAUGACAAUAACAUAUGCUUGAAUCUGA
This is a long non-coding RNA of Magnolia sinica, 707 nucleotides long. RefSeq lists it as uncharacterized. The transcript is spliced from 3 exons. The record is from RefSeq and is a predicted model, not a curated record. NCBI's taxonomy places the organism in Eukaryota, Viridiplantae, Streptophyta, Magnoliopsida, Magnoliales, Magnoliaceae.